GCUCAAUUUUGAAUCUGGCGGUCUUUAUGGCCGUCCGAGUUGUAAUCUAGAGAAGCGUUUUCCGCGCUGGCCCGUGUACAAGUCUCCUGGAAAGGAGCGUCCUAGAGGGUGAGAAUCCCGUCUUUGACACGGUCCACCAGUGCUAUGUGAUGCGCUCUCGACGAGUCGAGUUGUUUGGGAAUGCAGCUCAAAACGGGUGGUAAAUUCCAUCUAAAGCUAAAUACAGGCGAGAGACCGAUAGCGAACAAGUACCGUGAGGGAAAGAUGAAAAGAACUUUGGAAAGAGAGUUAAACCGUACGUGAAAUUGCUGAAAGGGAAACGCUUGAUGUCAGUCGCGUCGGCCGGGGAUCAACCUUGCUUCACUGCUCGGCGUAAUUCCUGGUCGACGGGUCAGCAUCGGUUUCGGUCGCCGUACAAGGGCGAGGGGAACGUGGCACUCUUCGGAGUGUGUUAUAGCCCUUCGUCAUAUGCGGUGGUCGGGACCGAGGAACUCAGCACGGCUUCGGUCGGUGCUUUAGGAUGCUGGCAUAAUGGCCUUAAGCGACCCGUCUUGAAACACGGACCAAGGAGUCUAACAUGCCUGCGAGUGUUUGGGUGGAAAACCCGAGCGCGCAAUGAAAGUGAAAGUCGAGACCUUCGUCGUGGAGGGCAUCGACGCCCGGACCCGAGUCUUUGACAAAGGAUCCGCGGUAGAGCAUGCAUGUUGGGACCCGAAAGAUGGUGAACUAUGCCUGAAUAGGGUGAAGCCAGAGGAAACUCUGGUGGAGGCUCGUAGCGAUUCUGACGU
RNAcentral lists this ribosomal RNA (788 nucleotides) under Xerocomellus dryophilus. RNAcentral's name for it is "eukaryotic LSU rRNA". It matches the Rfam family "Eukaryotic large subunit ribosomal RNA", at positions 107 to 892 of the family's 3401-position model. Lineage: Eukaryota; Fungi; Basidiomycota; Agaricomycetes; Boletales; Boletaceae. The record is from RNAcentral.